RNAcentral lists this small RNA (145 nucleotides) under Flavobacterium limicola. RNAcentral describes it as "Flavo-1 RNA". It matches the Rfam family "Flavo-1 RNA". Lineage: Bacteria; Pseudomonadati; Bacteroidota; Flavobacteriia; Flavobacteriales; Flavobacteriaceae. The record is from RNAcentral.
UUUUGCCCCAGAUAGCAGUGAAAAGCUUCGAGAUUUAUAUAUCUAUUUUUUCUUGAGGUGGUAGAGCGCCUAGAGAAAGCUCCUGCUGGCUCAUUAGAAAAAAAGAUUUAUAAACGAGAACUUGUAACGAAUAGCUGGAAUAGGC